This 247-nucleotide ribosomal RNA is filed under the name uncultured bacterium. RNAcentral describes it as "partial 16S ribosomal RNA". It matches the Rfam family "Bacterial small subunit ribosomal RNA", at positions 86 to 334 of the family's 1533-position model. The record is from RNAcentral.
UGGUGGCGACCGGCGCACGGGUGCGUAACGCGUAUGCAACCUACCUUUAACAGGGGGAUAACACUGAGAAAUUGGUACUAAUACCCCAUAAUAUCGUAGAAGGCAUCUUUUAUGGUUGAAAAUUCCGAUGGUUAGAGAUGGGCAUGCGUUGUAUUAGCUAGUUGGUGGGGUAACGGCUCACCAAGGCGACGACACAUAGGGGGACUGAGAGGUUAACCCCCCACACUGGUACUGAGACACGGACCAG